CCUACGGGAGGCAGCAGUGAGGAAUAUUGGACAAUGGGCGAAAGCCUGAUCCAGCCACGCCGCGUGCAGGAUGAAGUCCCCCUGGGGCGUAAACUGCUUUUAUAUGGGAAUAAAAAGAUGGUCGCCAUUAUUGAAGGUACCAUAUGAAUAAGCACCGGCUAACUACGUGCCAGCAGCCGCGGUAAUACGUAGGGUGCAAGCGUUGUCCGGAAUCAUUGGGUGUAAAGGGUGCGUAGGCGGAUUGGUAAGUCAGAGGUGAAAGCCCGUAGCUUAACUACGGAACUGCCUUUGAUACUGCCAGUCUUGAGUCCUGGAGAGGUUACUGGAAUUCGUGGUGUAGCAGUGAAAUGCGUAGAUAUCACGAGGAAUACCCGAAGCGUAGGCGAGUAACUGGACAGGUACUGACGCUCAGGCACGAAAGCGUGGGGAGCAAACAGGAUUAGAUACCCUGGUAGUCCACGCUGUAAACGAUGAACACUCGACGUUGGCCCUGUAUGGGGUCAGUGUCUAAGCUAACGCGUUAAGUGUUCCACCUGGGGAGUACGAUCGCAAGGUUGAAACUCAAAGGAAUUGACGG
Molecule: ribosomal RNA, 577 nt
Filed under: uncultured bacterium
Lineage: Bacteria
Description: bacterial SSU rRNA
Rfam family: Bacterial small subunit ribosomal RNA
Source: RNAcentral